CAAGUUCAACAGUGGUAUCACACCAUUUUGUAUUGACUUAUCAUCUUUAAGAUCAUUAUAUCUAUGGGACAAUGGACUAACAGGAACGAUUGACAUUAAAAGAGUAUCGAAACUUGGAAAUUUGGAAUUUCUUGAUUUAAGUCAUGACAACUACGGCAAUAGUUUCCUACCAUCCUUUGGUAAUCUUUCAUAUUUAAAAAAAUUUAUUCUGUCUCAAUGUGGAUUGAGAGAAGCAAUCGAUAUUCAAAAAUUAAGUAAUGGAACAAGCUUGAAGUUCUUGAAUUUAGUGGGCAAUGAAAUUGAAUCCCUUAAAUCCUUCCAAGGUGGUGGAGAUGGUGGUGGUGAAGAGUUACAGAAGCUGAGCAAUUUGGAAUAUCUUGAUUUGAGCUAUAAUCGCCUGGAUAACAACAGUCUAUCAUCUCU
Molecule: long non-coding RNA, 423 nt
Organism: Hevea brasiliensis (rubber tree)
Lineage: Eukaryota; Viridiplantae; Streptophyta; Magnoliopsida; Malpighiales; Euphorbiaceae
Exons: 4
Source: RefSeq, a predicted model, not a curated record